AUUGAACGCUGGCGGCAGGCCUAACACAUGCAAGUCGAGCGGGGUUUUCGGACCUAGCGGCGGACGGGUGAGUAAUGCGUAGGAAGCUGCCCGAUAGAGGGGGAUACCAGUUGGAAACGACUGUUAAUACCGCAUAAUGUCUACGGACCAAAGUGUGGGACCUUCGGGCCACAUGCUAUCGGAUGCGCCUACGUGGGAUUAGCUAGUUGGUGAGGUAAUGGCUCACCAAGGCGACGAUCUCUAGCUGGUUUGAGAGGAUGAUCAGCCACACUGGAACUGAGACACGGUCCAGACGCUUACGGGAGGCAGCAGUGGGGAAUAUUGGACAAUGGGCGCAAGCCUGAUCCAGCCAUGCCGCGUGUGUGAAGAAGGCCUCCGGGUUGUAAAGCACUUUCAGCGAGGAGGAAGGGUGGUGUGUUAAUAGCACAUCAUUUUGACGUUACUCGCAGAAGAAGCACCGGCUAACUCUGUGCCAGCCGCCGCAGUAA
Molecule: ribosomal RNA, 488 nt
Filed under: uncultured bacterium
Lineage: Bacteria
Description: partial 16S ribosomal RNA
Rfam family: Bacterial small subunit ribosomal RNA
Source: RNAcentral